UCCGGUCCAGCCCAAAUCAACCAAACUCAAUCUAGUCACACUCUCGAGCAGAAUUCGAGUUUGGUCGAGAGCAUAUGCUUCCUUAGUCGCAUAAAUAUGAGAUUCACUUCUCAUGACUUAUAGAAAAGUCAGGAUUAUGAGCAUUAAAAUUUAGUGAUGCAUCUAAUAAUUUACCUUCCAUUGACAUUAGUGCCAAAUCAGACUAGCAUUUCACAUAGAGAAAGGGUUCUCUCACUGUUUAGACUAGAAAGUAAUAUCUGAUGGAAGUCUCCAAAAACAAGCAUUUGGGAUUCAGAAAAUUCAACACAUAUCUCUUCCUCCUCAUGAUUCAGCACAAGAGCACAGGUAUGGCUCUGCCAUGUUAAAAUCUGCUACAUAGAAAUUGGCAGCCAAAUAACAGCCUCUGGAUCAAUCCUUCCUCAUCUGCUGCGCCUGGGUGACAAGUCAGCUGAUCUAGAUCUAGAUCCAGAGAGUGACCUUGAAGCUCUACCAGGUGAUGGC
This 501-nucleotide unclassified non-coding RNA is filed under the name Hevea brasiliensis (rubber tree). Lineage: Eukaryota; Viridiplantae; Streptophyta; Magnoliopsida; Malpighiales; Euphorbiaceae. The record is from RNAcentral.